This 274-nucleotide ribosomal RNA is filed under the name uncultured bacterium. RNAcentral describes it as "partial 16S ribosomal RNA". It matches the Rfam family "Bacterial small subunit ribosomal RNA", at positions 523 to 796 of the family's 1533-position model. The record is from RNAcentral.
AUACAGAGGGUGCGAGCGUUAAUCGGAAUUACUGGGCGUAAAGCGCGCGGAGGCGGCUACUUAAGUCAGAUGUGAAAUCCCCGGGCUCAACCUGGGAACUGCAUCUGAUACUGGGUAGCUAGAGUUUUGGAGAGGGAAGUAGAAUUUCAGGUGUAGCGGUGAAAUGCAUAGAGAUCUGAAGGAAUACCAGUGGCGAAGGCGACUUCCUGGCCAAAAACUGACGCUGAGGUGCGAAAGCGUGGGUAGCAAACGGGAUUAGAAACCCCAGUAGUCC